AUGCAUCAUGAUCAGGACAGUUACCGUCGCGACAGGGAACAAGGAACUCCUGGGCCGAUGAUGCCUCCGUCCAAGGGCGAGGAGGAGGAGGAGCCUCCUCGUAAGCCUCCGGUGUCCACAACAUGCUUCAUAUUAGGAUUUUUCGCCGCGCUAUGUUGCUGCUGCUUGGUCGACGAGCCGCUCAUGUGA
RNAcentral lists this ribosomal RNA (189 nucleotides) under Triticum aestivum (bread wheat). RNAcentral's name for it is "partial small subunit ribosomal RNA". The record is from RNAcentral. Lineage: Eukaryota; Viridiplantae; Streptophyta; Magnoliopsida; Poales; Poaceae.